GCCUGGGUGGCUCAGUCAAUUGAGCGUCUGACUUCAAUUCAGAUCAUGAUCUUGUGGCUCGUGAGUUCCAGCCCCAUGUCAGGCU
This 85-nucleotide transfer RNA is filed under the name Felis catus (domestic cat). It matches the Rfam family "tRNA". From Rfam's summary of the family: Transfer RNA (tRNA) molecules are approximately 80 nucleotides in length. Their secondary structure includes four short double-helical elements and three loops (D, anti-codon, and T loops). Further hydrogen bonds mediate the characteristic L-shaped molecular structure. tRNAs have two regions of fundamental functional importance: the anti-codon, which is responsible for specific mRNA codon recognition, and the 3' end, to which the tRNAs corresponding amino acid is attached (by aminoacyl-tRNA synthetases). tRNAs cope with the degeneracy of the genetic code in two manners: having more than one tRNA (with a specific anti-codon) for a particular amino acid; and 'wobble' base-pairing, i.e. permitting non-standard base-pairing at the 3rd anti-codon position. RNAcentral also lists the same sequence under 1 other name. Lineage: Eukaryota; Metazoa; Chordata; Mammalia; Carnivora; Felidae. The record is from Rfam by way of RNAcentral.